UAUUGGGCGUAAGAGCUCGUAGGCGGUUUGUCGCGUCUGCUGUGAAAUCCCGAGGCUCAACCUCGGGCUUGCAGUGGGUACGGGCAGACUAGAGUGCGGUAGGGGAGAUUGGAAUUCCUGGUGUAGCGGUGGAAUGCGCAGAUAUCAGGAGGAACACCGAUGGCGAAGGCAGAUCUCUGGGCCGUUACUGACGCUGAGGAGCGAAAGCGUGGGGAGCGAACAGGAUUAGAUACCCUGGUAGUCCACGCCGUAAACGUUGGGCGCUAGAUGUAGGGACCUUUCCACGGUUUCUGUGUCGUAGCUAACGCAUUAAGCGCCCCGCCUGGGGAGUACGGCCGCAAGGCUAAAACUCAAAGGAAUUGACGGGGGCCCGCACAAGCGGCGGAGCAUGCGGAUUAAUUCGAUGCAACGCGAAGAACCUUACCAAGGCUUGACAUAUACCGGAAACGGCCAGAGAUGGUCGCCCCCUUGUGGUCGGUAUACAGGUGGUGCAUGGUUGUCGUCAGCUCGUGUCGUGAGAUGUUGGGUUAAGUCCCGCAACGAGCGCAACCCUCGUUCUAUGUUGCCAGCGGUUCGGCCGGGGACUCAUAGGAGACUGCCGGGGUCAACUCGGAGGAAGGUGGGGAUGACGUCAAAUCAUCAUGCCCCUUAUGUCUUGGGCUUCACGCAUGCUACAAUGGCCGGUACAAAGGGCUGCGAUACCGUAAGGUGGAGCGAAUCCCAAAAAGCCGGUCUCAGUUCGGAUUGAGGUCUGCAACUCGACCUCAUGAAGUCGGAGUCGCUAGUAAUCGCAGAUCAGCAACGCUGCGGUGAAUACGUUCCCGGGCCUUGUACACACCGCCCGUCAAGUCAUGAAAGUCGGUAACACCCGAAGCCGGUGGCCUAACCCUUGUGGAAGAGCCGUCGAACGUGGGAUCGGUAA
RNAcentral lists this ribosomal RNA (922 nucleotides) under Curtobacterium sp. Its description in RNAcentral is "bacterial SSU rRNA". It matches the Rfam family "Bacterial small subunit ribosomal RNA", at positions 552 to 1474 of the family's 1533-position model. The record is from RNAcentral. Lineage: Bacteria; Bacillati; Actinomycetota; Actinomycetes; Micrococcales; Microbacteriaceae.